RNAcentral lists this long non-coding RNA (219 nucleotides) under Elaeis guineensis (African oil palm). RNAcentral's name for it is "long non-coding RNA (EGUI_LNC017796)". The record is from RNAcentral. Lineage: Eukaryota; Viridiplantae; Streptophyta; Magnoliopsida; Arecales; Arecaceae.
AUUAAAUAUGAAACUCCUGUUAAUACGGGUGUUGCUUCAGGACUCAAAAUCUGGAGUAGAAUGAAUCAAUUUGAGUGAGAUUGGGCUGAAGCAAUCUUUGCGAUCUGACGAAAACUUCUCCAAUCUACAAAAUCAGUCAAGAAAUCGGAUAAAGAUCCUCUAGUUCUUAACCCUCUGAUGUUUAAGUCAGUUCGAGACUUGAGAACAGAGGUAGAAAAG